RNAcentral lists this ribosomal RNA (580 nucleotides) under Bacillus sp. 166(2013). RNAcentral describes it as "bacterial SSU rRNA". It matches the Rfam family "Bacterial small subunit ribosomal RNA", at positions 78 to 643 of the family's 1533-position model. The record is from RNAcentral. Lineage: Bacteria; Bacillati; Bacillota; Bacilli; Caryophanales; Bacillaceae.
GCUUGCUCCCUGAGAUUAGCGGCGGACGGGUGAGUAACACGUGGGCAACCUGCCUAUAAGACUGGGAUAACUUCGGGAAACCGGAGCUAAUACCGGAUACGUUCUUUUCUCGCAUGAGAGAAGAUGGAAAGACGGUUUACGCUGUCACUUAUAGAUGGGCCCGCGGCGCAUUAGCUAGUUGGUGAGGUAAUGGCUCACCAAGGCGACGAUGCGUAGCCGACCUGAGAGGGUGAUCGGCCACACUGGGACUGAGACACGGCCCAGACUCCUACGGGAGGCAGCAGUAGGGAAUCUUCCGCAAUGGACGAAAGUCUGACGGAGCAACGCCGCGUGAACGAAGAAGGCCUUCGGGUCGUAAAGUUCUGUUGUUAGGGAAGAACAAGUACCAGAGUAACUGCUGGUACCUUGACGGUACCUAACCAGAAAGCCACGGCUAACUACGUGCCAGCAGCCGCGGUAAUACGUAGGUGGCAAGCGUUGUCCGGAAUUAUUGGGCGUAAAGCGCGCGCAGGUGGUUCCUUAAGUCUGAUGUGAAAGCCCACGGCUCAACCGUGGAGGGUCAUUGGAAACUGGGGAACUU